AUAGGAACUGGUUCAUUAGUUGGGCGGUGACUGAAAGCGAAGAAACUAGGCAGCUCUUCCUUUCUCUCUUUCUUUCAAUCUCUACAAAACAGAACUGAAGAAGUGGAACUAGAUGUGAGGAGAGGAAGUUGAUUAACUCCAUCAGCUGCUAAACAUAAACAAACAAACGAACGCAAGGAACGGGAGAGAUAGCUGGAGUAGGACUUGAGGAACUGAAUCAGAAAUGUGAGCGGUCUGCAACAUCGAAACUUAGGAGGACAAGGUAUGAAUCUGCAAUAAUCUCCUGCUUAUUCGGUAUAAAUGGAUUAAUAUACGAGCUGCAUGUGAAUUUAGCAAAGAAAAUGGGUCCUUAGCUAAGGUGAAACUCUGCUUUGAAGGAGAUAAAACUGUUGGACAGAUUUGGAGGGAAUUAGGAGCUGAUGUUUGGAUUUCAACCUAUAAAUGAUGAAAAUUUAUGUAGUAACCUCUUAAUCAUCUAGUAUAUAUUUGAAUACGCAUGUUGUGUACUGGAUUCAAGCCAAGAAAACCGAGUUUUGUUGCAGAGAUGAAGGGAAUAGAGCAAGGAAACCUGAUGCAUGCUGCUAUGCAUCAGAUUUGUAGUUAGGUGCAGAUAUGAGUCUUAAUUCAGUUUUUCUCUUGAAUUCUGGUCAUAAACUGCCGUGUUUGCUUAGGAUAACCUGUAGUCGAGUAAGUAACCUCUGCGUGAGUGGGUGAGACCUAAAACUGAAGAGGAAAUGGUGGGAAAAUGUCAAAGGAUAAACUACUGUUUUGCUGGAAAUUUAUUGGUUGCAACCGAGUGUGGGAAAUGAAGAAGUUCUAGCUAUUCUUAUGAAUGUUGGUCUUGAAAUUUUAUAUUAAACUGUAAUAUAUUUUAUAAUACAUUGGUCUUAACAUGCAUGUAAGAUUUAAGUCUAAAAUGAGGAGUUUAUUGGUGAAUUUUCGUGUCUUAAAGGCUGAUUGCUGCUAAGGCUUUUCCAAUGGCCGAGAGAGAACAGAGUCUUGAUCAGUCCUUGUUUCGAGUUUAGCUGCAAACUUUACACGUUCUAUUUAAGGCUACUCUGUAGCUUCGUAAAUGUGUUUUGCUUGUCUAGUUGGGGCAUGAAAAUGAAAGGAAAGACUGGAGAAAACAACAAAUGUUGGACUGAUACACUGCUAGGAAGUUGAGGGAUGCGAUAGCUAAUUACUAAUGCAGGUGAUGAUGACCGAUUUGUGAUCUAACAUUUAAUCGAAUAAAUUACUGAAACAUGGUGUUAUCUGUUCUGGCUUAUACUGGACUGAAAGUACGUUAAAGUAUUUAGAGCCGUAAGCAAGUAAAGAAAUGAAGUUUUGUUGAAAAUCUGAAAUAUAUUGCUGGAAUUUUGAUUUGAUGGCUGAAAUGGUAGUUAGUUAAGCCCUUUUAUGGUAUUUUUGGAAACUGUAAGGUAACUUGUUAUAGGUAUAUACAUAAGAUGGCUUCUAAUCACUUAAUCUUGUUUUCACAAGCAUUUUCUAGACUAUAAACAUGACAAUAAUCUUAAUCUCAGAAUAUUGAAUACAAGACUAUAAACUUGAAAAAUAAGUAUAUUUCUUUGGUUAAAAUGAUAAAGUUGUUAAGUUUCGAGAUAAAAUGUAAGAUGGGCGUUGGAUAUGUUAUAUCUUGUAUUUAAAACCAAAACUCGACUUUAAUAGUUUAAAACAUAAGACAACAAAUGACAAGUGAUUAUCUACGAACUGUAUCUUCAUUUUAGAGUUAUAAAUUUAUCUCAGGGGGUAGCUGUGAGCCAGAAAGCAAACCUGAGGCUUGAGAGUAAUUUAUUUGGGUAUUUGGUGAGUGUUUCCGAAUUUAUGUGUUUAACUGUUUAUGUGUACUUAAGUGAAAUUAUGUGACAAAUAUGUGUAUUAUGAAAUAUUGCUAAGUGAUUCAUUGUAAAGUGUAUCUCAAUUGUCCCUCACCUUCUAAGUCGAGGGUGUACUUUAUCGCACUCGACUUAGUUUGAGCUUGAAGGUAUUAAGCUAAGAAACUAUUAUUCUCUCUCUUAUGUUACAUUUUAUUGGAUAGAUGACUUGAAUCUUGAAUUAUAUUGGAUGAUACUCUAGUUUUGGUGAACAUUAACGAAUUUCAGCAAGGGUUAGAACUGGAACUGCAUAUUCGUUCAUGAUAAAGAACAAAUCAAUUCUUGUUCAAAACAUGAAAGUUUUAGAGAAUUGAGUUAGCUAGUUUCCUGCAAAAUGUCAGCCCAAUCUGAUCAGUGUAGCCUGAGUUAUGAUCAAAACACUAAUAGCUAUGCAAAAUGUUGGAUUUUGUGACGAUUGUAGUUUUUGCUUCUGACAGUGCUCAGUUCACCUUGAUAACGUGAGAAUUGGGUGUUUAAAUCUUCAUAAGACUUGUAGAUCUUUGUUUCACCGUCGAAUCAGUAUAAAAUGCGUCCAAAUCCGAGUUCGGUAGCUCCAGUUAUGCCCAAAACAAUGUAAGGUGCCAGAGCUGCCGUUGAAUCAGUCAGUUCUGUGCACGAACUUUGGACCCAUUUUUCCCCAUGCUCUGUAUUGAUUCAGCUUUUGGUCCAAACACAAAAGUUAUAGCGUUAUAAAUGAGCUUUUCAACACCUCUGGAAUUUCUUGAUUCCGAUCUCUGAGUCAUGAGUUGUGGUCAUUCAAAUAGGGUCUGUUUGGUACCCUGAAUUGAAACGGUUGGGACUGUCUUGUGCAUUUUUGCCCUAGUUUCGUUGAGAUCUGGUUUGAGGUAUUUUCAUAAAAGUUAUAGCCCUUCUUCUUAGCUUCGUAAUGGUACUUCAUAGACCUUAAUCUGACUUUCCUAACCCAACUUAUGGUCAAAACAGUUUGGGACAGCAACUAUGCCCGUUUCCGUUUCCGUAAGCCGUUUCCGCGCAUGCAUAUGCCAAUUUUGCCGUUUUACUUGAUUUAUGCAUUCUAGUAGCCGUUUGUGGAAUAAUGUGGUACAGUCUUCUAUUUCAGAUGGUGGUGAGUUAGACGGAGCCAGUGGGGCCUACUAGCUAUUACACGUGACGUGAUCUCCGCUCUUU
RNAcentral lists this long non-coding RNA (3020 nucleotides) under Coffea arabica (coffee). RNAcentral describes it as "long non-coding RNA (CARA_LNC004300)". The record is from RNAcentral. Lineage: Eukaryota; Viridiplantae; Streptophyta; Magnoliopsida; Gentianales; Rubiaceae.